UACGUAGGGUGCGAGCGUUAAUCGGAAUUACUGGGCGUAAAGCGUGCGCAGGCGGUUUUGUAAGCCAGGUGUGAAAUCCCCGGGCUCAACCUGGGAAUUGCGAUGGAGACUGCAAGGCUAGAAUCUGGCAGAGGGGGGUAGAAUUCCACGUGUAGCAGUGAAAUGCGUAGAGAUGUGGAGGAACACCGAUGGCGAAGGCAGCCCCCUGGGUCAAGAUUGACGCUCAUGCACGAAAGCGUGGGGAGCAAACA
This 251-nucleotide ribosomal RNA is filed under the name uncultured bacterium. RNAcentral describes it as "partial 16S ribosomal RNA". It matches the Rfam family "Bacterial small subunit ribosomal RNA", at positions 524 to 774 of the family's 1533-position model. The record is from RNAcentral.